Molecule: long non-coding RNA, 612 nt
Organism: Planococcus citri (citrus mealybug)
Lineage: Eukaryota; Metazoa; Arthropoda; Insecta; Hemiptera; Pseudococcidae
Exons: 2
Source: RefSeq, a predicted model, not a curated record
AACAUGCAAUUCUUAUGGGCUGAUGCUAAUUCGAAAGCCUAUAUAAAGAAAUAUGUUCGUUUUAACUUUUGCAGCAAAAUAGAAAACACCUUUAUUGUGCACAGUGUGCCUCAGUUGCUUCAAAUUAUUUUUAUUCAAAGAUGAUUGAAGAAAAGCCCAUAAUUCGGAUUGUAACAAUAACCUGCGCAUUGUUGAUUUUUUUCAAUAACGUGAAUUUUUCAACAGCAGAGACCAAAUACGAUCAUUGUGACUAUGGAAAAUGCUCUGACCUAUGUGCACAGCAGUAUCCAGGGUCUCUUGGGUUAUUGCAACAAGGCUCAGCAGUUUGCGAUUCCAAUAACUUCUGUCAAUGUUACAGAAUUAACGAUGAUGGAAGUACAUAUAACUUGAAUCAUAAUGACUAACGAAAUCACCAAAAAGUAAGAAGUUUAUUUAGCGCAGGUAGUACCUUACCUAUAGGUACUUAAAUGUAUCCAGCUGCAUGAACUUAACUUAUUAGUUAUUAUACGUACAUAGGUACAAUAAUUACUUAGUUAAUUCAUGUACAUGUAGGAUAAUCAUUACCUAUCUAUGUAUUUAAUAGACCAAAAUUAAAUUGCACUUUGAAAGUAA